GAUGGCAUUUGGCAUUUGUAUAACACACAACACACAACAUAUCAAGCCAAAAGAAUCAAAAACAAGUUUGAGUAAUAAAAGUUUCUCUUCUCCAAAAACUUUCUACUCUUCCAAAAUUCCCUUAGCCUAAAAGCCUCCCUCCAAAUAUUAAUAGCAAUCCUCUUCCAACAAUACCAGUCGAAAUACUUUUGCUCUUGUGAUCUUGCCUUUAGUAUGUUGCACUCUCCAGUCAAGAUGUUGCUCCUAAUUCUACGUCCUGGUAUAAUCAUGUUCCAUUCACAAUUGACAAAUAGAUGGUCUCUAUUUUUCUCAUGGCUGUGGUAUAGAGUAGAUUGUGUAUCCAUUGUCAAACCCCACUUUGUCAAUUUAUUUGUGGUUGGGAGUCUUCCAUGUAAUAACAUCUACAUAGUAUGAUGUGCUUUAGGCCUCGCACAUUUCUAAAAUAUUAGCUUCUACCCACGUGUAUAUCUACUGUUAAUCGGUACAAACUUUAAAAAAUGGAUGAUUACCAAAAAUAUUUAAAUAAUUUGAUUAAAAAAACUACAAAGUGAAGAUGUACGUAGUUGCCGAAGUGUAAUAUCAAGUGUCAAAUAUAAAAAGACUAAUCCAAAUAGCUUAGUAACUAUUUGUGAAGUAAAUAUAAAGCCGUCAUAGUGCACUGUUAAACAUCAAGAUAAAUUGUAAAAAAAUAUUAUUAUCACAAAGACAUGCAUACAGUUCAUCAACUUAUUAUAUAAUUAUAAACCAUAUGAAAUACAACUCUUAGCUGCAGAAGAAUUUCAAGAAAGAAGCUAAGGUAUGGGCUCACAAGAAACAUUCUUAAUCUUUUCAAUGGUAGGAAUCAUCAACCGCACCACUACUCUUCAUUAGUUUUAUAUGAGCAUGAGAACUGGUAUAGAAAAGA
Molecule: long non-coding RNA, 904 nt
Filed under: Nicotiana benthamiana
Lineage: Eukaryota; Viridiplantae; Streptophyta; Magnoliopsida; Solanales; Solanaceae
Description: long non-coding RNA (NBEN_LNC037816)
Source: RNAcentral